UUUCCGUAGGUGAACCUGCGGAAGGAUCAUUCAUAAUAAAGUGUUUAUGGCACUUUUUAAAAAUCCAUAUCCACCUUGUGUGCAAUGUUAGAUCUCGUCAAUCUUGGCGAGAUUUUUAUACAUCAACUCAUUCUUUAACUAAUUUGUCUGAAAAAUAUUAUGAAUACUUAAUUCAAAAUACAACUUUCAACAACGGAUCUCUUGGCUCUC
RNAcentral lists this unclassified non-coding RNA (210 nucleotides) under plant metagenome. RNAcentral describes it as "partial contains small subunit ribosomal RNA, internal transcribed spacer 1, and 5.8S ribosomal RNA". The record is from RNAcentral.